This 547-nucleotide ribosomal RNA is filed under the name Fusarium oxysporum. Its description in RNAcentral is "eukaryotic LSU rRNA". The stretch from base 180 to 333 matches the Rfam family "5.8S ribosomal RNA". Lineage: Eukaryota; Fungi; Ascomycota; Sordariomycetes; Hypocreales; Nectriaceae. The record is from RNAcentral.
AGGUCUCGUGGUGACAGCGGAGGGAUCAUUACCGAGUUUACAACUCCCAAACCCCUGUGAACAUACCACUUGUUGCCUCGGCGGAUCAGCCCGCUCCCGGUAAAACGGGACGGCCCGCCAGAGGACCCCUAAACUCUGUUUCUAUAUGUAACUUCUGAGUAAAACCAUAAAUAAAUCAAAACUUUCAACAACGGAUCUCUUGGUUCUGGCAUCGAUGAAGAACGCAGCAAAAUGCGAUAAGUAAUGUGAAUUGCAGAAUUCAGUGAAUCAUCGAAUCUUUGAACGCACAUUGCGCCCGCCAGUAUUCUGGCGGGCAUGCCUGUUCGAGCGUCAUUUCAACCCUCAAGCACAGCUUGGUGUUGGGACUCGCGUUAAUUCGCGUUCCUCAAAUUGAUUGGCGGUCACGUCGAGCUUCCAUAGCGUAGUAGUAAAACCCUCGUUACUGGUAAUCGUCGCGGCCACGCCGUUAAACCCCAACUUCUGAAUGUUGACCUCGGAUCAGGUAGGAAUACCCGCUGAACUUAAGCAUAUCAAUAAGGCGGAGGAA